AGAAAUAGUUUAUUGUCUUCAGAAAAAGUCUGUUAGCAUCUGAACUGUAAUGCUAACUAUAAGAGGUUUUGCAGGCAAUUUGUCAUUGGAUGAAAGGAACAGUUUCAGAAAAAAACUUCUACGACACAGGAAAAG
Long non-coding RNA from Labeo rohita (rohu), 135 nucleotides. RefSeq lists it as uncharacterized. NCBI's taxonomy places the organism in Eukaryota, Metazoa, Chordata, Actinopteri, Cypriniformes, Cyprinidae. The record is from RefSeq and is a predicted model, not a curated record. The transcript is spliced from 3 exons.